RNAcentral lists this unclassified non-coding RNA (3653 nucleotides) under Hevea brasiliensis (rubber tree). The record is from RNAcentral. Lineage: Eukaryota; Viridiplantae; Streptophyta; Magnoliopsida; Malpighiales; Euphorbiaceae.
GUGAACUCAAGUAAAUUGAAUAAGAAUGAAAACUAAUUUCAUUAAACUUCUGGAAUCGAGAAGAUACAGAAAAGUGGUUCUCAAGUUUUCAUCUGCCAAGACAGUUACAAAGAAAACUAACUAUAAAGAAUGUUUCUGUGCAACUAAGAGACAGUUGUAACUCAUUUCCCGCCAGUUUCAUAUGAUGGUUGCUUCUUGGAGAAGAAGUUGCUAUGAGAUGAGGUUGGGUGAGCUGUUGUGUGCCAUGGGUGCUACACACCGUUUCAUUAAAGCACGAAAAAACGCAUUGUUCAAUAACAUAGCUUCUUAUGACUACUUUAUCCUUAGUUGCUUCUGGAUUCUCUGCUUCUGCAAUAUAAAAUAUAAAUUACUUUGUUGCUUUACCAUUUCUGUCAUAUAUCUUAACAAUGAUCGCUUUCGAAUAAUUAGCUUGGAGCAGCCAAUGAAGGGCCGAGCGAACACAAACGCUUUCUGCAACACGAGAGCACUGCACUCCAUCAAAAACACCAGACAAAGCUUGGAUCUUUAGUUCAGAUCCUAGCAUAAAUGGCAAUAUGUGGUACAUUUAGUUCUUGAUUACACAGCAUUUAUACGUCUAUGACAAAGACUUAUGAUUACAGGCAAACAUCCUUAGAUAAUUAUACUAUAUAUCCAAGAAAGCUGUGCGACAUACAUGUUUAGGAACCUAGAACUCUAUGACUAAAGGAUAAUGGGAAAAAAAGAAAAAGAAAAAGAAGGAAACAAUUAACACAGCGAGACUUGCUUUCAGGGUUUCAAAGCAUCCUUUGUAGUUCAGCUAUACUAAUUACAGCUCUUACAUAUAGCCAGCUCCUGUAAAGCAAUAAACUGCAACAAACUCCCCAAAAUCCUGUAGCAAACCCUAUUCCCAUGCUUAUGAAAAAUCCUGAGGUUAUAAUCUCAUCCUUGCCUACUUGCUUGUCAGCGUUUUCGCUGCCUCCAUUAAUGGGUGGACUCGCAGCUUGUUCUCCAGGGCACCUAUUUGGAAGUGGUUCACCACAAAGUCCUGCAUUUCCUUUGAAUGAAGUGUUAUCAAAGCUCUGUAGUUGAGUGCUCCUUGGAAUUUGGCCAGAGAAGUUGUUAUAUGACAAGUUUAGAUAACUAAGAAAAUUCAAGUCACGAAGGCCCUCAGGAAGCCUACCAGAAAGAUGAUUUGCAGACAGGUCAAGUGAUUCUAAUAAGUUCAAGUGGCCGAUGCUGUGAGGAAUGACUCCAGUCAAUUGGUUAUUUGAUAAGUUUAGCGAAACCAAGCCUACAAGGCGUGUAAUUUCACCAGGGAUUUUUCCACUGAAGUUAUUGCUUGAAAAAUCAAUGCAUUUGACAAGGCCAAGAGUAUUUCCAUACUCACGUUCUGUUCCUUUCCAUAAAAUCAUCACAAUGUUCACAUAUGGCACAACAUUAUACCAUCCAUUUGUGGUCCAAGGAUCUGGAAGGUAAGAAUAUGAAUUAUGGAAGAUUUCAACUGUACCACUAUUGCUUGCCAUGGCAGUGAAGUUACUCAGGCACUGCGGUAUUCCUCCUGAUAUGCUAUUAUUGGAGAGGUCCAAUAUUUGCAUAGAAGUUAGAUGGCAUAGCUGCAAAGGUAUACUUCCAUAUAUCCGAUUUGAUCUUAGACGUAGAACAAUCAGACUUGGAAGAUUUUCCCCUAUCCAUGCUGGUAUUGUACCAAACAAUCUAUUCUCCUCCACAUCUAGAAGUUUAAGACCAGUACAAUUACUUAGGGAUGGUGGCAAUUCUCUAGAGAAACAGUUGUUUCUUAAUUGCAAUGCUUCGAUUGGAAGAAGCGCAAGUGAGGCAGGGAUACUCCCAGAAAAGUUAUUAUUUGCCAAAUUAAGGAUGCCCAAGUUUUUCCAAUUUGUCCAACAAUGAGGAAGUUCUCCUGAGAAAGAGAGUUGUCAGAAAUGUCAAGAUAGUUCAAAUACUCCACUGAUAUUGAACAUAAAUUGGAUGUAUUUCCAGAAAACCUAUUUCUGGAGAGAUUCAAUACCGUUAUAUUAGGUGGAAGCGGUGGUAUUGAGCCAUGAAAGCAGUUGGAACUCAUGUCUAUUGCAGACAAAUUAUCAACUAUGAAUGGCAAUUUCUUCUCUUCGCCACUGAUUAGAUUUCCAGAGAGAUUCAAGUACAUCAAAAUACGUGGAAGUUCCCAAAAACAAUCACUGAUGCCAUCUGAAAUUCCGGAAUUAGAGAUAUCAAGGUGAAUGAUUCUCUUUUGUGUCUGUAGCCAUUGUGGAAAAUGAGGCUCUAGCUGUUUGCAAGAGCUCAUUAUUAAGAUGUCAAGCUGAAAAGGAGGAACCCAAUAUGAGCUCAAGUUCAAAGUAAAUGAAUUUAAAGAAAUAUCCAAAUGCCUUAAUUUGGAGAGGGUCAAAAAGUGGAUAUCUGAGAUAACACCAUUCAUGGAAUUUGAGGAGAUAUCCAUAACUUCAAGAUUGGAAAGUAGGCCUGUACUUUCUGUCAAACUCCCAUUUAGUUUGUUCAUUGGAAGACGCAGCUCUUUGAUGAAUGAAAAAUUACUCAGAUUGGGCACCUCUCCUGUUAGAUUGUUCCAAGAUAAAUCCAGUGCUUCCAAACUAAAAGGAUUUCCCAAGGAAAUUGGUAUCCUACCCUCAAGGUGAUUAAAGGCAAGAUUAAGAUGUUGAAGAGCAAUCACAUUUCCAAAAGUAUCUGGAAUUUGGCCUUGUAACUGGUUUAAUUCAAGUUUUAGAGAAAGGAGGCUAUUGUUGAAGUUCAACAACCAAGGGAAGAUUGAAGACGAAAACUAGUUGAAACUAAAAUCAAUUAUUGCAAGAGACUUGGAGGAAUUGGCAAGAGAUAGAGGUGGAGGAAUCACCAGAGAGAGCCCACAUGCACUCAAAUGCAAGUUGAGCAGAGAAUGGAGCAUAUUAAUUGCUCGCAACCAAUCUGUUGUCUGACUGAGAUUUGUGUGUCUCAUAUCAAGAUGCUUCAAAGCGGGAAGAUGAGAAAGGAACAUAAGACUUUCAACUUUGUCAAAAUUAUUGUAGCUGAGAUCAAGAGAAACCAACCUUGUGAGAUUUCCAAGCUGAUAAGGAAUGGUUCCGAUAAAAUUGCACCCAGAAAAGUUGAGAUAUCUCAAGUUUGUCAAUGAACCAAUGAACUUGGGGAUGGAGGUUUCACUUCCCUCGAACAGACUCAGGUCCAAGUAUGUCAAAUAUUGCAGCUCAAGCAAUGAAGAUCCUAUUUCCCCUUUGAAAGGCAUGUAAGAAAAUGAUACCCCAUUAGGAUUAUAAACGAUUGUAGGGCGGAGGUCAAGCCCAUAAACAUGGCCAGAAUUUUUGUUGCACUUAACUCCUCUCCAUUUACAGCAAUCUUCUUCUUGGUUCCCCCAUGAGCAGAGCUGAUUAUCCUUAUCCACAAGGCCAUCUUUGAACUUGAGAAGAGCUUGUUUCUCCUUCUCCACGCACAUGACUUUGAACUUUUUCACAGCAUUAGAACUUGUGUUGUGUCCAACUGCACUGCUCAUGCACAGAAACCCAAAAACAAAGACAAUUAUAAGUCGGUGAUAUGUGCCUUCCAUGAUUAUGAAGAUAGUUUGAAACAAAGAGAGAGAUCAAAUAAAUUGUAUCAUAUAGAUAUGCCAAGCAAUAUGCAGUUGGAUAGGUUAUCCCUACUAUUUUGUC